UGUGAGAGUGAUGAGUGGCACACAUCAGUCAGGGUGUCUGCUGCAGUGUCAUCAGCACCCUGACCCGACCCCAACCUGAGGACACACACACACACACACACACACACACACACACA
Small nucleolar RNA from Labrus bergylta (ballan wrasse), 116 nucleotides. RefSeq annotates it as small nucleolar RNA SNORD67. NCBI's taxonomy places the organism in Eukaryota, Metazoa, Chordata, Actinopteri, Labriformes, Labridae. The record is from RefSeq and is a predicted model, not a curated record.